CGCCGAUAAGGGCGGUUGGCUGGGCUCGCUCCCCCGCAGGGUCCAGCCCCGCCGUCCCCGCGCUGACCUGGGGAAGGGACGCGCACAGCCCCCUGUUCCCUGGGCGGUGCCGGAACCCUGAGGGACACGGAAGCCUGCCCGGAGGCCGCCCCGCCGAGGUGCUGCCCGCAGCUAAAUCAAUCAGAAAUUUCCGAGAGGUAACAAGUGGGAGCGACGUGCGUGUUUCCCCGGGAUUACGUCCAAAUGUCCUGAGUCAUGUUGGGCUUGUGCUGUAGGCGUGAGCUCGUCCUUUGCUGGCGGCACAGGGCCAGUCGGCUCAGGGUUAAUAAUAAAAUGCAAUAAACGCGUAAGCCAUAAACUUU
This is a long non-coding RNA of Cinclus cinclus, 362 nucleotides long. RefSeq lists it as uncharacterized. The transcript is spliced from 2 exons. The record is from RefSeq and is a predicted model, not a curated record. Lineage: Eukaryota; Metazoa; Chordata; Aves; Passeriformes; Cinclidae.